This 287-nucleotide long non-coding RNA is filed under the name Mytilus galloprovincialis (Mediterranean mussel). Lineage: Eukaryota; Metazoa; Mollusca; Bivalvia; Mytilida; Mytilidae. The record is from RNAcentral.
AGUUAAGUAUUGAGGUAUAUAAUUGCAUCAUGUGGACUGAAAAAAUAAAUGAAUGUAAAUUCUAGGCUACUGUACUACACAAGUAAGUAGUUGCAUACACAGGUUGGGGAUUUCCUUCACAUAUAGGUCCAAUCAGAUGUAAAAAUUGUGGUCUCCUCACUUGACGGCAUCCAAUCAAAGUGGGGGAAAAAAUCAGUUUUAUGUAAACAAAAAUAUCUUGAGAUUUUGAUGGUAAGGAUAGGUUCGGACAAGGCUCUAAUUCACUGAAUAUCCUUUCUCUCUUGAAU